Molecule: non-coding RNA, 6203 nt
Organism: Rattus norvegicus (Norway rat)
Lineage: Eukaryota; Metazoa; Chordata; Mammalia; Rodentia; Muridae
Source: RefSeq, a predicted model, not a curated record
AUUAAAAAUUAAUAAUAAGCCGCCUAGCUACCCAAAAAGAAGAGGUAGGGUCUGUGAGAACAUGAACUUUUCGCCCCUCCCUUGCUGUACAAUGGUUCCCGGAACAUUCUUGCAUGAAAAGUUUCCUGGAACAGCCACAAUGACCCAUAGCCUCCGGCCACAAUGGUCCAAUGGCCCUGAAAAUGUCACUACCCCUAAUCACAAUGUCACAAAGUCCUGGGUGUGUUGCCUAGUGUUACACAUGACUAGCAUAUGACCUAAAUGUAUGGGCAGUUUGUGGUUUUGGAAUUCCCCUCCUCCCUCCCUCUUGAUCCCCCUGGUUUAUGGUUUUUUCCUUUAUAAGCUCUGUGAAAAUUCAGGUCGGGGUCGAACUCCUCUACUCCCUGUGUGGCGUAUGAGUCUCGACCCCAGCAUGCUGGCCUGAGCUCUCAUUUCAUCUCGCUCACAAUAAAUCUUCCUCGUGUGAUUACAGCAGGUCGGUGUCUGUGUCCUACUGGGUGCGCGUCUUUCCCGAGACUUGAGUGGGGGGCUCCCUUCGGGGGUCUUUCAUUUGGGGGCUCGUCCGGGAUCUGCGCGACCACCCAGGGGUCCUAGACCCACUUGGAGUUAAGAUUCUCUGUUUUAUCUCAGCGCUGUGUCUGGGUCUGUGUCUAUGUUCUGUCUGGGAAUCUGGUGCGAUCGCUGUUUCGGUUUUGCGGACGCUCAGUGAGACCGCGCUCCAGGAAGGAGAGCGGGGUGGAUAGGGAUAGACGUGUCCAGGUACCCACCGUCCGUUCGCCCUGGGAGACGUCCCAGGAGGACAAGGGGGGACCAGGGACGCCUGGUGAACCCCAUCUGAUAGGUCCAGAGGAGACUUUACUCCUUGACGACCGGUUUGUUAGGCAAGGUCUGCGACCUGCCGAUCAGUUUCAGUGCCUCUGGUCGACACGAAGUCGACGUCGGUUUUGUUUUUUUUUUUUUUUUUUUUCUCUUUUGUUUGUGCUCGUGUGUGUGAGUGUGUGUGAAUUAAGUCCUGUAGUCUGUGUUUUUCGGUACCGGUUUAAGGUCUUAGUGCACUGUCUGGGCAGAUGAAGGAUUCCUGCCCUGUGCACGAGAGUCUUAGUGCACUGUCUGGGCAGAAGAAGGUUUCCUGCCCUGUGCAUGGGUGGAAGAAGGUUCCCCACCCCGAAAUGGCGCCUGUGAGUAGAUGAAGGAUUCCUACUCCGAAUAGUCUUUUUCUUUCUUUUUUUCCUUUUUAGAAAGCUCACUGGGGGACGCCCCAAUCGAGCAGGCUCUGGGACGCGUGAGAGACGUUCCUCGAGCCAGCCUUUGUCGGGUCCUGGCUCUGGGACGCGUGAGAGACGUUCCACGAGCCGAAUUUUGUUGGGAGGACCCGGCAACGGACAGUCAAAAAGAUCUGACUGUGACUUGACUUUGGAGGUUGCGUUCGGCUGCCUAUUUAAGUAUAGGCACGGACAAGUGUGCUUAGAUGUGUUAGUGUCUGUUGUCUGUAUUCUGUUUCUGUGUUUGGUAUCCCGGAAGCAGCUAAGGUUAAGCUGCAGUUUGGGCCAGGUACUGAAGGUACCAGGCAUCUGUGGAAAUUGGUUAUAGGAUGCUUUGUCUUGGUCUUGUUUGUCUGGAUUGUUUUCUGUGGUAUUGUCCAGUGUCUUUUUGACUUCUUUUCGUGUUUGAAUUUGGACUGACGACCGUGUUUAAAAUCUUGGACUGACGACUGUGUUUGAAAUCAUGAAACUGUUUGCUUUGUUCGUUGAAGAGUUUUACUUGGUCCCCUUAAUGCUUAGUGAGUAAGAAACUUAAUCUUAUGGACCCCGCUCUAGUGGCGGUGUGUUGGUUGAUAGCCAAAGUUAAUUUUUAAAAUAGUGUUUUAUCUGUGCUUGUGCUCGCAGCACACAGUAGAGGGGAGCGAAAUUAGCUGCGGAGCUGCUGCAGCGAGCAUGGGGACUUCUCAAGUCUCACCCAAUUUUUCUGGCUCUUCAGGAGCUGUUUAAAAGGAAAAGGCUUAAGGUAAAAAGAAACACUAUAGAGAGAUUUCUUAGUGAAUUACUACACCUUGCUUCGCGAUCUCUGGGAAUCUCAUGGUGGACAGCUGAGAUAAGCUGGAAAAGGAUUUAAAUUUUGCUUGGGAGCAAAGAAUCUUAAAGGCGGAGUUUCAGCCGGUAUGACACUUAGUGCGUAGCUGCCUAAAAGAUCAGAAAUACUGUUAAUAGGCUAUAAAAAAGGGACAGGCUGUGUUAGAAAUGCUACAGGAAGAAUAAUCUAAAAAGGCUGAGAGCUAGGUGGGGCUAUAAGGAAUUUCUGACUUUUGCUCACAGUAGGAGAGAGCUCAUUUAGAGAAGUUCUUUAAGGAAGCCUGCCUUAUCUGCUGUCUUUAUUCCAAGGGAGGAGUCAGUCUCCAGCACUAAAUUACUUGGAGGUAGCCAAGGUCAGGAUUAAUGUUUUCUUUUCCAUGGGCCUUUAAACCCAGUGAGACAGUUUGGUAAAGGGCUACUACUGAGGUCCUGAUAGCCCCAGGUGAACUGGUUACAAUUCUUUUAUCAGCCCCCUGGCAUCUAGCACCCAGGUUCUAACCAUCUCUCCAUCCUUUUGUUAUUAGUUGUUACUAGAAGCCUAGUGUCAUUUGGAGGCUGGUUCUCUUGAGAGGCAAAGCCAUGGAGCUGACACUGACAAUGGCCUUUUUGUUCCAAGAAAGGCCUCCUGGUUUAGCUGUGUGACUAAAUGCUGUUUGCCCUCUUCGGUAGACUCUAUUCUCAAGAUUCUCUUGUUUUCUCACCAUCCCAUUUGAUAUGCUUGUUAGUAACUGUUACAGGUCUUCUUUACCACUGAGGAAAGACGGAAUCCUACUAGAGGCCAAAAAAAAAAAAAAGGGUUCCAACACGCAUAGAAGGCCCUCACUUCUGCCUGCUCUCUUCAAUACGCCUGAAGGUAGGGAGUGCUCCAGGUCUGCCCCCAGGCUCCAAGGGUGGGUCUCCUAGGGGCUGGAAAAUGCCCCACCAAUCUGGCUAAGAUAAAGUUACAGAAACUUGAAGGGUUAAGCUAAGUCGCUGAGAGAGUUAUUGUAAGUUGAUGCAUGGUUCAGGGUCUGUGCAGAAAAGUGGACAGCACCUAAUAGCUGUAGAAGAAGAUGCAGAGAGACAGAAAAAAAAAGAAAGAAAGAAAGAAAGAAAGAAAGAAAGAAAGAAAGAAAGAGGUAAAGAGUGCAGGAAGCUAGGGAAGAAAAGAGACUAAAAGAAGAGGAAGCUAGAGAGCUAAAGAGAGAUAAAAGACAAGAGAGGAACAUAUACUGGCCACAGUAGUUAGGGAACCUAGGAAGACAGUACCUGGCAACAGAAGAGAAUUCCUGGCUAAAGAUCAGUGUGCCUAAUGCAAAGAAAAAAAAAGACACUGGGUCAGGGACUGCCCCAGAAAGAACAAGAGGGGACACUGGAGAGCCUCUUGGUCCUAGAGUGCUGGCUAUGUACAGAGAUAGAAGGGAAGUGUGGAUGCAGGGACCCAAUGCUCUGUGCUCCUAUGCCCCCCUCCAGUGGGCCAAUAUCCAAAGACCUUGGGUACAGGGGCCUACUGGCAACAAACAAUACUUAUGGACUGCCCGAAGAACAGUGGACCUUGGCGUGGGCCGGGUAACCCACUAGUUCAUAGUCAUCCCUGACUGCCCCUAUCCCUUGCUCAUGAGAAAAUUGCUCUCCAAAAUGGCUUGCGUGGGCUGAAAUGGCUGGGUGAGGCCAUGUGUAUGCAUAUCUACAGACUGUGUAUGUGGAGCUUAAGACCUGUCUCAGUGCACCAGUACCUGAUGCUGGGAGAUGAAUGGCUUAGCGCUGUUCUACUUGGAACAUAUCACUCCUGCCAGCCGGGCACUAACAAUUAUCACCCAAUCCAGGACUUAAACUGUGAUAGAGUGGCUGAUGUUUGCCUUUGAAUAGAGUGUCCCAAAAGAUGGGACCACUGGUCAGCUGCCAUGGACUAGAUUCUCCACCGGUUGGGGACAAUCUGGUCACCUUGCUGCCCAAUCCGGACCUGGAGCCACCACAGCACGAGUGUCAAGUACUGGCAAAAGCCCAUGGGUGGAGGAAAGACCUCUGCGACUGGCUGAUUGACCCCUGCUGAAAGCCGAGGACCUUGUCCACAGACGGGAACAGUUCUCUUCAUGAAUGAAGUACAUCAGCACUGCAGAUGCCUUUACCAUCUCUUGGAUGCCCUGGUGAAGCCAACAACUGUGAGUACUAUUCAUUGCUCAGGAUAUCAGGAGGGAAGAGAUUCAGUGACAUGGGGCAAUAACGAAGCAGAUAAAGUGGCUCGAAAAAUGGUUAUGCAGGAGCCCAUCCUGGUUGCAGGCCUGCAAGAGACAGCCACUGGGAACUGGGAUCGGACUAAGGGAUGGCCUCACUUAGAAAAGGCCCAAAUUGCUUAAAAGAUAAAGGACAAUGGCACACUUGUGGGGAAAGCUAUACUUCCCAGAGAACAAAGAAAAGACUCACUUUGCCAAAUACAGAAAUGGACUCAAUUAGGAGAUAAAAAGUUUGUCCAAGUAGUUAAGUGUAUGUAAUAGACUUUAAGAUUUUAGCCAGAGAGACAGUAGAAAGUAUAAGGUAUGUCAAUAAGUGAAUGCUUAGCAAGCAAACAGGGCAAAGAGACCUAGAGAGUUUGGUGAAAAGUCGAAGUGAACUUCACUGAGAUAAAACCAGAAAAAUAUAAUCACAAGUAUCUCCUAGUGCUUGUAGAUACUUUUUCAGGAAUAGAUAGAAGCUUUCCUCACCAAACAAGAGACGGCCUCUGCAAUCAUCAAGAAGAUACUGGAAGAAAUCUUCCUCCGAUUUGGAAUGCCCAAGGUAAUCUGGUCAGACAACGGCCCUACUUUCGUUGCCAAGGUAAGCCAGGGUGUGGCCAAGUAUUUAGAGGUCGAUUGGAAAUUACAUUGUAUUUACAGACCUCAAAGUUCAGGACAGGUAGGGUAAAUAAAUGGAACUCUAAAAGAGACCCUGACCAAAUUAACCAUGGAGACUGGCACAGACUGGGUGACACUCCUUCCCUCUUGCUCUCUUCAGAGCAAGAAAUACCCCUUCCAGAUUCAGCCUUACCCCCUUUGCGAUCUUAUAUGGGGCCUCAGCCCCCCUGACUGUAUUAGAUGAUGUUACUGAACCAACAUGUCAUAGUGCCAUAGUAAUAAUGAUUUGUGUGCCAGGCUAAAAGACCUACAGGUGAUACAGAAAGAAAUCUGCUCACAGCUGACAGCAGCCUAUGCCCCGGAGACCCCUGAGACAUCCCAUCAGUUCCAGGUUGCAGCUACACUGAGUCCAGACACUCGAGCCUCGCUGGAAAGGACCGUACCUGGUGCUGCUGACCACCCUGACAGCUGUCAAUUCUCAGCCCUCACCAGCCGUGUACUAGCUGUUGGGGCUGAGAGCUGGGACCUAGAGGGAAAUUCAGUCAUGUUUGUCCUGGGUUCUAUCAAGAUAGGUGUGGGAUAGGCUUGAUUUCCAUUACAAAUGAUGUAACAUUGCAUAUGUUAGUACUCUUAACACUUCUUGGGACUGUGCCUCAGGGAUCACAGUCCGUAUAAGCUUAGAAGUUCUAAAAGCUAGUCAUGACCUUGGUGGAUAGGCUUGGAUAGUGUCCAGGUUAGAAUCCUCAUGUUAAGACUACAAUACCAAGCUGUUAUGCUAGAUGAAGCUGAGUUCUCCAUGAAGUUCUAGGAUUAGAACUAUUAACAAAAAAAGAAGAAGUGGGGAAUGAAGGAUUAAAAAUUAAUAAUAAGCCGCCUAGCUACCCAAAAAGAAGAGGUAGGGUCUGUGAGAACAUGAACUUUUCGCCCCUCCCUUGCUGUACAAUGGUUCCCGGAACAUUCUUGCAUGAAAAGUUUCCUGGAACAGCCACAAUGACCCAUAGCCUCCGGCCACAAUGGUCCAAUGGCCCUGAAAAUGUCACUACCCCUAAUCACAAUGUCACAAAGUCCUGGGUGUGUUGCCUAGUGUUACACAUGACUAGCAUAUGACCUAAAUGUAUGGGCAGUUUGUGGUUUUGGAAUUCCCCUCCUCCCUCCCUCUUGAUCCCCCUGGUUUGUGGUUUUUUCCUUUAUAAGCUCUGUGAAAAUUCAGGUCGGGGUCGAACUCCUCUACUCCCUGUGUGGCGUAUGAGUCUCGACCCCAGCAUGCUGGCCUGAGCUCUCGUUUCAUCUCGCUCACAAUAAAUCUUCCUCGUGUGAUUACAGC